UACGUAGGGUGCGAGCGUUGUCCGGAAUUAUUGGGCGUAAAGAGCUCGUAGGCGGUGUGUCGCGUCGGUCGUGAAAACUUGGGGCUUAACCCUGAGCUUGCGGUCGAUACGGGCAUCACUUGAGUUCGGCAGGGGAGACCGGAACUCCUGGUGUAGCGGUGAAAUGCGCAGAUAUCAGGAAGAACACCGGUGGCGAAGGCGGGUCUCUGGGCCGAUACUGACGCUGAGGAGCGAAAGCGUGGGGAGCGAACAGG
This 254-nucleotide ribosomal RNA is filed under the name uncultured bacterium. RNAcentral's name for it is "partial 16S ribosomal RNA". It matches the Rfam family "Bacterial small subunit ribosomal RNA", at positions 524 to 776 of the family's 1533-position model. The record is from RNAcentral.